Molecule: long non-coding RNA, 1108 nt
Filed under: Homo sapiens (human)
Lineage: Eukaryota; Metazoa; Chordata; Mammalia; Primates; Hominidae
Description: long non-coding RNA NONHSAT163136.1
Source: RNAcentral
GACGCCCGGGGCCCCCAACGGCCAGCACGGUCCGAAUCGACCCCAAGCUUGACCCGAGGGCAGCGGGGCCUCCGGGAAUGCCUGGCCAGGGCGGUGUCGCCGGGAGUGAAUGGGGGAGGGGGCGGCCGGGGCAGGACCCGGGUCAGGGCCACUCUGGUAGUCUCCUGCCCACCCCUCCCCAAGCCGAGCUCCCGGCCUCCCUCCCUCUCCCCCGUCCAGGGCUGAGGACUGGGGAAGCUGAGUCCCGGGACGGGUAUGGGGGGGUUGGGGCUUGGGAUGCAGCCGGACCUCCGGGAACAGCAGGGGGCCCUGGAGCCACCAGGAGGGAGAAGGCCCCGUCCCUGAGCCAGGCUCGCAGGAUGUUUAUCCCAGGAAAUCCAGAGGAUCAGAACCAGGCAGGACCCGGCACUGGGACGGAGGCAGCUGUCUGCGGGGCGUUUACCGUAGAUACGUAUCACCUGUUCUGAGACAGAGCCUUGUAAAAUGUUUCCCGACGUUACGAGGACAGCUGCUGGAAUAAUGAUGCAGGUAGCUGGCACACACGCAGUGCAAAGGUUUCACCAGACAUGGUCUUCUAUGCCUAUCACCUGGUCAAUACGAGCAGCAGCCACGUUAAGGUGUAAUACACACUGGCGUCAUCUAACGUUCCAUGUGAGGAAACUGAGGCACACAAAGGGCAACUGGCUUGCUCAAGGUCGCGUGAAUGGCAAAGCGUGGAUCUGGGAUUCAAGCCCAGACAAUUGGGCUCCAGAAUUGACUUUAUUAGUCAUGAUCACUCCAGAGAAAACAUCAAGCACUUUUCAUUACAUGUUUAAUGAAAAUGAUGUUAAAGUGGUUUUGUAGGAGAAAACAUUUCAUUCAUGUAAAUACAUUUUACUGCAUUCUAAAAUCUAGCAGGAAAAGAUGUGGCCUAACUACCGUCAAGAUCUGGGUACAUUUCAUUGGAAAUACAAGCACAUUGGACAUGGGAAAAUACUGGGGAACUUUACAUGGAAGAGAAUGCAUCUGAUAGUCUGGCGCACUAGCAUUUGCUGGAUUUUUAGGACAUAUGGGAGGCCGGGUGCGGUGACCUCCCCCAGCAAUCCCAGCAAUUGGGGAGGCUGAGGCC